ACUCCUACGGGAGGCAGCAGUGGGAAUAUUGGACAAUGGGGGCACCCUGAUCCAGCAAUGCCGCGUGUGUGAAGAAGGCCUGCGGGUUGUAAAGCACUUUCAGUAGAGAAGAAAAGCUUAAGGUUAAUACCCUUGAGUCUUGACGUAACCUACAGAAGAAGCACCGGCUAACUCCGUGCCAGCAGCCGCGGUAAUACGGAGGGUGCGAGCGUUAAUCGGAAUUACUGGGCGUAAAGCGCAUGCAGGUGGUUUGUUAAGUCAGAUGUGAAAGCCCGGGGCUCAACCUCGGAAUUGCAUUUGAAACUGGCAGACUAGAGUACUGUAGAGGGGGU
This 332-nucleotide ribosomal RNA is filed under the name uncultured bacterium. Its description in RNAcentral is "bacterial SSU rRNA". It matches the Rfam family "Bacterial small subunit ribosomal RNA", at positions 335 to 661 of the family's 1533-position model. The record is from RNAcentral.